GUGGGGAAUAUUGGACAAUGGGCGAAAGCCUGAUCCAGCCAUGCCGCGUGUGUGAAGAAGGUCUUCGGAUUGUAAAGCACUUUAAGUUGGGAGGAAGGGCAGUAAGUUAAUACCUUGCUGUUUUGACGUUACCGACAGAAUAAGCACCGGCUAACUUCGUGCCAGCAGCCGCGGUAAUACGAAGGGUGCAAGCGUUAAUCGGAAUUACUGGGCGUAAAGCGCGCGUAGGUGGUUUUGUAAGUUGGAGGUGAAAUCCCCGGGCUCAACCUGGGAACUGCCUCCAAAACUGCAUGACUAGAGUACGGUAGAGGGUAGUGGAAUUUCUUGUGUAGCGGUGAAAUGCGUAGAUAUAGGAAGGAACACCAGUGGCGAAGGCGACUACCUGGACUGAUACUGACACUGAGGUGCGAAAGCGUGGGGAGCAAACAGGAUUAGAUACCCGGGUAGUCC
This 450-nucleotide ribosomal RNA is filed under the name uncultured bacterium. RNAcentral's name for it is "partial 16S ribosomal RNA". It matches the Rfam family "Bacterial small subunit ribosomal RNA", at positions 354 to 796 of the family's 1533-position model. The record is from RNAcentral.